AAGAAAGGGAGUAAAAGAGAGGGAUGAAUGAGAGAGACGAGAGAGUGUUGUUGGUGUUGUUUAAAUCGGGGUUCAGUGGGAGCUUGGGACGCUGGUCAGAGAAGCGUCCUCUGUUCAUUCUGGCUUGACGGGACGCGACGGGCACGCGACGGGGCUGCAUGACCGGGCUGCUGCAGAGAAUAUCUGUAAAGAGUUUCUGCACGCUGUCAUUGAUAGCGUCCCGCAUUUGGACGCUUCUCUGACUGGCAUCCCGCUCUGCUGCACACUUCUCUGACUGGCGUCCCAGUCCAAAACGCUAUCUUGACUAGCGUCUCUAUUUUCUCCUCAUCCCGUUUCGGUAAUAUUUAGAUUUUCAACCCUUUUUCCGUAUUU
RNAcentral lists this unclassified non-coding RNA (372 nucleotides) under Hevea brasiliensis (rubber tree). Lineage: Eukaryota; Viridiplantae; Streptophyta; Magnoliopsida; Malpighiales; Euphorbiaceae. The record is from RNAcentral.